UUACGGUCAAAUCAUUGCUGAAAACACCGGUUCUCGUUCGAUCACCGAAGUUAAGCAUCGUAGAGCCAGGUCAGUACUUAGAUGGGGGACCGCUUAAACACCUGGU
This 106-nucleotide ribosomal RNA is filed under the name Acanthosepion pharaonis. Lineage: Eukaryota; Metazoa; Mollusca; Cephalopoda; Sepiida; Sepiidae. The record is from RNAcentral.